AACACAGCCUCUCUGUAAUGUUUAUGCAAAUCUGCAUCUUCUCUUGUAAUAUUAGCAGCGUUCUGAUCUAGAGAGGAAACACUUCUCAUUAGUCUUCCUUCAACACAAACAUGUUUGCUUCAGCUCCACUGCUGCUGCUGGCUCUCGCCCCCUAUGUGUUCUGUGCUACUGAGCUCAUCCAGCCAGACUCACUGCUUAUAAAGCCAGGAGAGACUUUAACCAUCACCUGUAAAGUGUCUGGAGCUUCUAUCACUGAUAGCAGCAGCCACUAUGGAACAGCUUGGAUUCGACAACCUGCAGGAAAAGCUUUAGAAUGGAUCAACACCAUUUAUUAUAGUGGGAGUAUUGAUAAGAAAGAUUCACUUAAAGACAAGUUUGUGGUCUCUCGAGACACUUCCAGUAACUCUGUGACCUUACGGGGACAGAACAUGCAGACUGAAGACACAGCUGUGUAUUACUGCGCUCGAAGACCACACAGUGACACAACAAGCUGCAGUGCUGCACAAAAACCUCAUCACAAUUCACUUCUUUAAUUAAAUAAUAACUAC
Molecule: non-coding RNA, 548 nt
Organism: Tachysurus fulvidraco (yellow catfish)
Lineage: Eukaryota; Metazoa; Chordata; Actinopteri; Siluriformes; Bagridae
Source: the annotation of a RefSeq genome assembly